This 450-nucleotide ribosomal RNA is filed under the name uncultured bacterium. RNAcentral describes it as "bacterial SSU rRNA". It matches the Rfam family "Bacterial small subunit ribosomal RNA", at positions 354 to 796 of the family's 1533-position model. The record is from RNAcentral.
GUGGGGAAUAUUGGACAAUGGGCGAAAGCCUGAUCCAGCCAUGCCGCGUGUGUGAAGAAGGUCUUCGGAUUGUAAAGCACUUUAAGUUGGGAGGAAGGGCAGUAAGUUAAUACCUUGCUGUUUUGACGUUACCGACAGAAUAAGCACCGGCUAACUUCGUGCCAGCAGCCGCGGUAAUACGAAGGGUGCAAGCGUUAAUCGGAAUUACUGGGCGUAAAGCGCGCGUAGGUGGUUUUGUAAGUUGGAGGUGAAAUCCCCGGGCUCAACCUGGGAGCUGCCACCAAAACUGCAUGACUAGAGGACGGUAGAGGGUAGUGGAAUUUCCUGUGUAGCGGUGAAAUGCGUAGAUAUAGGAAGGAACACCAGUGGCGAAGGCGACUACCUGGACUGAUACUGACACUGAGGUGCGAAAGCGUGGGGAGCAAACAGGAUUAGAAACCCGUGUAGUCC